RNAcentral lists this small RNA (393 nucleotides) under uncultured Entrophospora. Its description in RNAcentral is "SSU rRNA". It matches the Rfam family "Eukaryotic small subunit ribosomal RNA", at positions 569 to 967 of the family's 1831-position model. Lineage: Eukaryota; Fungi; Glomeromycota; Glomeromycetes; Entrophosporales; Entrophosporaceae. The record is from RNAcentral.
AGCAGCCGCGGUAAUUCCAGCUCCAAUAGCGUAUAUUAAAGUUGUUGCAGUUAAAAAGCUCGUAGUUGAAUUUCGGGGUCAGUAGGUCGGUCGUGCCACAGGUAUGCGCUGGUCUCACUGAUUCCUCCUUCCUGAUGAACCGUAAUGCCAUUAAUUUGGUGUUGCGGGGAGACUGGACUGUUACUUUGAAAAAUUAGAGUGUUUAAAGCAGGCUAACGCUUGAAUACAUUAGCAUGGAAUAACGGAAUAGGACGUUCGAUCUUAUUUUGUUGGUUUCUAAGAUCGACGUAAUGAUUAAUAGGGAUAGUUGGGGGCAUUAGUAUUCAAUUGUCAGAGGUGAAAUUCUUGGAUUUAUUGAAGACUAACUACUGCGAAAGCAUUUGCCAAGGAUGU